Hipposideros armiger (great roundleaf bat) is the source of this 2180-nucleotide long non-coding RNA. RefSeq lists it as uncharacterized. The transcript has 2 exons. The record is from RefSeq and is a predicted model, not a curated record. Lineage: Eukaryota; Metazoa; Chordata; Mammalia; Chiroptera; Hipposideridae.
GAGCUGCCAACAGGUGGCAGGAUGGCUCAGCUUAAAAAAAAAAAAAGUGGAGAGAAGAUGGCCAACCAGCCAGAGACCUCAGGACCUGAGAAACGACAUGGUGGCAAGUUCUCUGGAUUUUCUUCUUCCCUCCAACUAGGAACUGGAGAAGCUGGCAACCCAGAAAUGCCAACAGACCCAGAGAGACAAGGAGGAAGAGGAGCUGCCAAAAACAGACAAUGGGAGAAAAGAACUGAGGAGUUGAGAAGAACAGGUACCAAAAGCACCCUGGGAUGAAAAUGAGAAGAAGCUGGAGACUUGUCAUUUUCACUGUUACCAUUUCCUGUUGUAGUUGAGAGCUUGUAUGGGUGAAGUGUAUGCACUUUCAUAUAACGGCUUAGAGAAAAAUUCAUCUUUCGUUUAAUGCACCUGUUCCUCAUUGGAUGUUUAGUCCGUUUAUUCCUUAGCACACAGGCAAACAAACAAACACUUUAAAUGCAAUGGUGAAAUUGAAUUAUUUUCUAAUUCAGAUUUAAAUAUGGCUAUAUUAUAGCCUUGGAAUAGCUAUGUAUUUAUACCCAUCUUUUUAUUAAAUAUAUAUUCUUUACUUAAAUAUUCACUAAUAUGCCUAAUUUGCCCCUUGUUCUUUUAGUUUUCUGUACUCCUUGUUUGUACUUUUGGGGCCUGAAAUUUGCCUCUGACAAGCAUGUACUUCAAUCUGGUAGAAAUUAACCACUGGUCAAUAACCAUGAUUGAUCACUGGUCAAUAACUGUGAAUCAGCUGCGAUCACUGGUCAAUAACCUUGGCAAUGAGGUCUUCGCCUCUAUCACAACCAUUUCAAUCUUAUAUAAGGCUUAGACUCUCAUCAAACUUUUCUCUGAUGUUCUAUGGGCUGCCCUCAUCCACAUGCUCAAAAUAUUCCAGUCCCCGCCUAGUGAUAGCUAACCAGCAGCGUUAUUGUCUGAGACUAGCAGCUAAAAAGAGACUAUUUGAAUAAUUGGAUGGUGCUUCAGACAGUCAGUCUCCAGGGCCUGUGUCCACUGGCCCCUAGGACUGAAGGAAAUUGGCAGAGGUAUUCUGCGAGGAAAAAUAAAGGAACACAUUUGCUUCCCCCAAAAGUCCUUAAGAAGGCAGAAGGGCCUGGUGGAAACUUACAGCACUGCAUAAUCUGCUUUGCCUCUCUCACGAGGGGUCUAGGAUGUAGACCUAGAUAAUGCCAGAUCCACUCCUCUGCCUUUUGCCCCCUGCUUUCCGUGCCAGGAAGUGGAACCACAUGGACAGCAUCAGCUGGCUCCGCACAGGCUAAUAGCUGGUUCAACCGGUGGGGAACCUUGGCAAGAGAAGGAGAGACACAAAUGAAGUCAGGACAUAUUCCCCGCUUCCCUACUUAAGAGGUUGCCUCAAGCUGAAUGAUGGUGCCUAUUGACAGAAGGUCACUUCUCCUCUCCAAGACUCCUUCCGUACAAAGCUAUUCUUCUGUGUUUCAGAAAUUCUUCCCCUGCAUCACCCUUCAGGAUUAGGGGUAAUAAUAGCCCACUACUGUUAGCCUCAGGUCCCUCGGCUACCUCUUGUGACCUGUCAACACUCUGCACACACCUUUGUGCAUAGCCGUUUUGAAAUAGGUGGUAUUUGAAUUAUGAUAAUUUAUGUGUAUCUAUUUUCUGUUGAGAUCCUGGUUGAUAUAUAGUAAAUAAUUAAUAGUUAAUAUUCAUUAGAUGUUUACUAUUCUAGAAGAUUUAUGGGUAUUGAAUCAUUAAAUGCUUCUAAUAGGACAUAUCAGGAGAUAUUGUUAUUAUUACCCCAUUUUACAGCUGAGGUGAGAUUAAACCCUAUGCCCAGGGUGCACACCCUGGAAGUGGCAGGAUGCAAUUUGCACCAGAGCAUUGUGUUCUAGAGCUUGCUCUCUGCACUAAUGCCCAUCUAUGAAUGAGUGCAGCUAGAAAUGCGUGCAGGUUGCAGUUUUACAGAUCCUUCAAAAGUACUGGGUAUGAUCAUUUACAUUUUUAGCUAAUAUAAUCUAUAAAGAGUUACCUUGUUUUAAUUUGCAUUUUGUUGAUUAAUGAAUAUUUAUUUCCAUAUGUUAUCCCUAGCUACUGGCCCUCAAAAGAGAUUGUCUGUGUGUGGUCUUUGACUACUUAUCUAUCAGAUCUUUGGGUACUUUGAUUUUAUGAGCUCUUUCUGCAUUAAAUUUUCCUAGUUU